Long non-coding RNA from Equus caballus (horse), 4144 nucleotides. The record is from Ensembl. NCBI's taxonomy places the organism in Eukaryota, Metazoa, Chordata, Mammalia, Perissodactyla, Equidae.
CGCUUACCAUCAACAAAGAGUCAAAGUGGAGUAAAGAUGUUUUCAGAUAAGUAAAGUCUUCAGAAAGUAGUUUCUCUGCACUGAUUCUUGAGAUACUUGAGAGUGUGUUCCUCCAAAAUGAGGAAAUAAACAAGAAAUGGGGAAAUGCAAGAUCCAAGAAACAGGAUUUCCAACGCAGGAGAGGAGUGGAAGGACUAUCCAGAAGGACUGAGGGGAAAUGCCAGAGAGACACUGUGUAGCACAUCUAGGAAGCAUCCAGUCCAGAUGAGAGCAGGAACCCAGAGGGCUCCAGAAGUGUCUCCAGAAAAACUUGAAACAGAGAGCACUUGACAUGUUUGAACCUAAGUUCUCAGAGAAGACUCAGCCCUUAAGUGAAGUCUAGAGGAUGCUUGUCCUUGGAAGCCAGCCAUUGUGCUGCAAGAAAGACUGGGUUACACAGAGAGGCCCAUGUGGAGAGAAACUGAGGCCCCUAGCCAUCAGCCCCAGCUGAGCUCCCUGCCGACAUGGAGCAUCAACUUAUUAGCCAGUGAACAAUCAUGAGAAAGUUCUAAAAGUUGAGCUCCGCAUGUUCAAAUGCCAGCAUUUGCCCAGGACCUCAUCCAAGACAAAGCCUACCACUAUCACAGGGCGGAGGAAGUGCACAAGGUCUUGGGUUCAUGCCAGAAUCAGAGUAAGGGAGCCUAUUUUCAACCGAGGAUCUUCCUCUGGCCUCUGAAGUCUGACCUAGACGCUCAUCUCAGGAGGCAAGAGUACUAGCCCCGGAGACAAGACCCCAGCCUUCAAAUCCAGGUUUCUCGUUACUUGGACAGGUUGCUUAACCUCAUGCCUCAUCUCUGCCAAUCACGGGACACCUUCUGAGCUCAAGGAUGGUGGCAGGACCAGAUCAGACCAAAUAAAUUAUUUCUGGUGAUGUUGCAGUUGGAAGAAAGCACCAAGAGGCAGAAAACAGAUAGAGCUAUUUCAGUCAAUGGUGGCACUGCUGGAAAAGUUUACCAAUUCCAGAUUUAACUCUUCAAAAGUAGCAGGGCUCAGAGGGACUGAGAGACCCAGGCACCGGGGAAGAGAGAGACAAAAGAUCUUGUUUGGCAAAAUCACAGGACCCCCAACAAUAAAUCUUACCAAAGCCCUUUUCAAAUCUGGAAUUAUUUUCAUGCAGCUGAAGAAGGUCGGGUUGAUGUGGAAACUGAGGCCCAGCUAGGUUAUGUCAUUUGCCUGAUGUCUAUGGUUAUUCACCUGUGUCUUCAAGUACCUGAUGAGAAGCAGAACAUUCUCUUCCUUACCCUUCUGUCCGUGACAUGGCAAAUAUCAUCAGCUCUGCACACAGUGGAUACGGAUUAAUACCAGUGAAUAUCCACUUCCCAACAAGAAAAAUUUAAACCAAAGACCAAGAGGCAAGCAAGAGUCUACUGACUGCCAGGGUUGGAUGCUGAGAAUGAGAAAUGGCAGAAGAAAGAGGAAAGUCCUCUCUGUGAAUACUCAGCUACUCUAAUAAAGACUCUUCUAAGCAGUCAAUACAGACAGUGCCUUUUACUGGAGCAAGAGCCAUGAGACACAGAGGAAAGAGGAGAAAAGGUGAUUCUAACACACAGGAAGUUUAAGACUAAGAUGGCGGCAUGAGCAGAGAAACAGGAUGCACCACCACAGGAAGAUAUAGGACACAAAGAACACACCACUAUAAAAAAAUAGAUUGCAAACUAUAUGCAUAAGGUGUCUCUCCUCUGUCUACCUAGAGAUGAAAUCAGACCAUGAGCUAAAGUAUGAAGCCAGACAGGUAGAUGGACCAAGAAGCUGAUUUCAUCACCCUGGGACAACUUCAGGACUCUCAAUUUGAACAACUUAUAUUAAUUUCCAACAGGGAAGAAAAUAAACAAAAUACUGCCCUCAAAGAGAUAAGACUCUAAUUUCACUGCUCUCCUCUAGUGUAUUCUCCUACUAAGGUCACAGUGUUACAACGCCUCAUUCUCGGACCUCACCUACCCAUACUCCAGGACUUUUUCUCAUUUUCACAUGGAAUCUCUUUGUCAUCCUUUCUUUCAACUGCUAUUUCUUCUUUCUGUGCUCCAGAAAGCUGAUAUUUGGGAUGCAAAGUGAUCCAGACCUACCUGACAGAUUGGUUCCUUUUCAAUCCCCGUUAAGAGUGUUGAGCCUGCCCUCCAUCACUAUCGUUGGCCUGCCUCCCUCCUCACCCAAUCAAUGGCACAGAGGGGGACAUCAUAAGCAGGUCUCCAAAAUGGAAUUUCAAGGAAAAGAUUCAAUGACCUUGAAGAGAAAUCCAUACAAAUAAGGAAAGAAAUUGAAACAGGAAUUAUGGUGCAAGCCUACCAAAAAUUGGAUCAAAUGAAAGGCUGGGAAGGCUGAGCAAAGAAAAACCCAAGAGCUCUGAGAUAGAGAAGUGGAGGGGAGAAUAAAGGUCCCUACUCCAACAAUGCUGGCUGAUCUCACUUCCGCUAAAGCACAAAGAAGACUUUCAAAGAGCAAACUGGAGCAUGAGAACACUGGUUGGGAGCUCAGGCUUUCAAAGCAGAUAAGCCUGGUUUUGAUUCCCAGCUCUGCCUCUCACCAACUAGGUGAUCUCAGAACAUCGAAGCCCUGCUAUACAAGCACGUACUGCAUGAAAAAGGAGCUAAGAACACAGAGGAAACUUUCCUGCCAAACAGGGGAGUUAUUCCCACAGCAGCAAGAAGUGUAUGUUGUAAGAUGAAGACACUGAGGACCAGAUGGAUUGGAUAACUUUCCCAAGGCCUAACGGGCUGAGCUAGGACUGGGAUCACAAUCUAUCUAAUUCUAAAGCCACUUUCUUUCCACUAUACAGUACUGUCUCCAACUGCAAGAAACCACAGAACCAAACACCACCAGUCACAAAAAAGAGUAGAAACAAGAAUCUUGAUUCUCAGCUCAGUCUUAUUUCCCUUUAUAGCAGAGUAACCAGUGCUGUGAUUGCUUCAAACUGUUUGCCCCAUUAGACUUCUAAAAUGAGUCUAACGUUCCCCUUUUACAAUUCUUAACUCAAUGCCAUAUGCAAUCAGACACAAGCCGUACUAUGCAACAAUGAUGACGGUAAAGGGGCUCAGUGGUAUGGAUCAAUUAUUUCAACAAAUAUUUACUUGUGCCCACUAUACUACAAAGCACUUAGGGUAAAAAAAAUCCAUACAGGCGUAGCUUCAGCCUGGCCUCUGGUCGCCAUUCACAAUACCCUUUGUCUACCUUCUACCCAAUCACACUAUUAUCAUCAGAAGCCAAGAAGACAUUGUCAAAGCAGAGACAGACAUAGACACAACAGAGGGGUGGUUCGAAUUCCCACAAUGAAGGUAGAAUGCCUAUUCAGCACUCUCCUUCUCUGAUCACUCACACAGGUCUGCAACCUUACCCUGGCCCCAAACUCAGUGUAACUUCGGCUCUGGUAUCCAUACUUCCAGUCUAAGCACAGACCCUACCCACCUUGUCCUUUCCCAUUCAGUCAGCCCCACUUACAUCCAAAUCAGUUUUCCAUCACCCCUCAUAUUCCAUGCCAUCUUCUCAAUUCGUCUCUUCUUAGGUAGCCUAUAGAAUCCUGUUCUGUUAACAAGUAAACUCCCAUAUUGCUGUGAACCCUUGCACCAGCAUUCUUUGCACCUGUGUCUGAAUGGAAAUGUGGCUUUCCCUUAAUUAUAAAUAGUUCUCAAACCCCUUUCCCAAAGAAGCUGUUUUCUUUUCCCUAGGCCCAAAUCACAGAAGGUCACAGUUGCUCUCCGCCUCCCUUGCAGUGCAUUGUCCUGCAGCCAUCUAACAAGAGCCCUUCUCCUUGUAACUCUCUUCCCUCACUCCUUGAUGUAGUCUUCUGACCCUUGAUGCCUGGAGCACCUGUUCGCCUGAGACUCCCUCAGCACACCAAGACUGUAUUGAAGAUUGAUGACUUUGGCCCCUCAGGAUCUUAACCUCCUUAUUAUCAAUGACUUUCAUAUACUUUCUGUUUCUCAAAACAAGGCAGUGGCUCUUAAAGCAUAGUCUUUGGACCAGCAGCGUUAGCAUCACCUGAAACAUGUCAGAAAUGCAACUUCUCAGACCCUACCCUAGACCUGUUGAAUCAGAAUUUCUAGGUGUGGGGACAGCAAUUAGCACUUUAACAAGCACUCCAGGUUAUUCCGAUGCGCAAAUGUUUGAGAAC